GUUUAACAUAUAUAUUCAAAACAUCACACACUCUUUUUAAGCUGUAUGUGAACAGACACGAAAAAGUGACGUUGACGUUGAUGUCUUGCCUUUGUAUUCUGUUUCACAAAAAAGACCUGAUAACGCACGAUGCCAACAGCAAUGCAAGUGAUGGACCAUCAUAUGCCCCUGAUGCUGUACCCCGCCGUAGAGAUGUGCUCGUCAAAUUGUAUUUAUUAAAUUUAUGUAUUACACACCCGACAGCUGAGUGCUAAACUUGAAAAUGCAAUUUUCACUUUAUGGCUUAUUGGACCAAAAAAUGCAAAGCAACAAAAACAAAACAAAAAAAAUAAAUAUAACAUAUCCAAUAUAACAUAUCCAUUGCAGAUGAGCUGCGAAAUUUUCGUUAAAACCAACGCUAAAAUGGAAUUUAACAGUUAAAGCAAUUUUUGUAAACAAAAACUGUUUAGUUUCUUUAUUACUUACAGCCUUUGCUACAUCUGUAAUUUUACUGAGCACAACAUUUUUGAUUUCAAGUAAAUUGCAAACAA
Molecule: long non-coding RNA, 530 nt
Organism: Drosophila montana
Lineage: Eukaryota; Metazoa; Arthropoda; Insecta; Diptera; Drosophilidae
Exons: 2
Source: RefSeq, a predicted model, not a curated record